This 433-nucleotide ribosomal RNA is filed under the name uncultured bacterium. RNAcentral describes it as "partial 16S ribosomal RNA". It matches the Rfam family "Bacterial small subunit ribosomal RNA", at positions 29 to 507 of the family's 1533-position model. The record is from RNAcentral.
AACGAACGCUGGCGGCAUGCCUAACACAUGCAAGUCGAACGAAGCCUUCGGGCUUAGUGGCGCACGGGUGCGUAACGCGUGGGAAUCUGCCCCUUGCUUCGGAAUAACAGUUAGAAAUGACUGCUAAUACCGGAUGAAGUCUUCGGACCAAAGAUUUAUCGGCAAGGGAUGAGCCCGCGUAGGAUUAGGUAGUUGGUGGGGUAAAGGCCUACCAAGCCGACGAUCCUUAGCUGGUCUGAGAGGAUGAUCAGCCACACUGGGACUGAGACACGGCCCAGACUCCUACGGGAGGCAGCAGUGGGAAAUAUUGGACAAUGGACGCAAGUCUGAUCCAGCAAUGCCGCGUGAGUGAUGAAGGCCUUAGGGUUGUAAAGCUCUUUUACCAGGGAUGAUAAUGACAGUACCUGGAGAAUAAGCUCCGGCUAACUCCGUG